CUACAAUGGCAUAUACAAAGAGAAGCGACCUCGCGAGAGCAAGCGGACCUCAUAAAGUAUGUCGUAGUCCGGAUUGGAGUCUGCAACUCGACUCCAUGAAGUCGGAAUCGCUAGUAAUCGUAGAUCAGAAUGCUACGGUGAAUACGUUCCCGGGCCUUGUACACACCGCCCGUCACACCAUGGGAGUGGGUUGCAAAAGAAGUAGGUAGCUUAACCUUCGGGAGGGCGCUUACCACUUUGUGAUUCAUGACUGGGGUGAAGUCGUAACAAGGUAACCGUAGGGGAACCUGCGGUUGGAUCACCUCCUUA
This 309-nucleotide ribosomal RNA is filed under the name Acinetobacter baumannii. RNAcentral describes it as "partial 16S ribosomal RNA". It matches the Rfam family "Bacterial small subunit ribosomal RNA", at positions 1225 to 1533 of the family's 1533-position model. Lineage: Bacteria; Pseudomonadati; Pseudomonadota; Gammaproteobacteria; Moraxellales; Moraxellaceae. The record is from RNAcentral.